CGUAGCGCGCCAGCCAGCCGUGCCCGGAGCCCGAGCGCAGCCUCGAGGUCUCACCUGAGGUGCCCCUGACCGUUCCUGUCCCCCACCCCGGAUCCCGGCAAUGCUAACCGCUGUCUGCGGCUCUCUGGGCAGCCAGCACACGGACGCGCCUCACGCCUCCCCGCCGCGCCUCGACCUGCAGCCUCUCCAAACAUACCAGGGCCACACGAGCCCGGAGGCCGGGGACUACCCCUCCCCGCUGCAGCCUGGAGAGCUGCAGAGCCUCCCGCUGGGUCCUGAGGUGGACUUCUCACAGGGCUAUGAGCUCCCGGGGGCCUCCUCUCGGGUAACCUGCGAGGACCUGGAAAGCGACAGUCCCUUGGCCCCGGGACCCUUUUCCAAGCUCCUGCAGCCGGACAUGUCACACCAUUAUGAAUCGUGGUUCCGGCCGACUCAUCCAGGCACCGAGGAUGGCUCAUGGUGGGACCUUCAUCCCGGCACCAGCUGGAUGGACCUCCCCCACACUCAGGGCGCGCUGACCUCACCUGGCCACCCAGGGGCGCUUCAGGCUGGUUUGGGGGGCUACGUCGGAGACCACCAACUUUGUGGUCCACCACCCCACCCACAUCCGCACCACCUCCUCCCAGCCGCUGGAGGGCAGCACCUCCUGGGACCUCCCGACGGGGCAAAGGCCUUGGAAGCUGCGGCUCCGGAGGCUCCGGGGCUGGAUUCCAGUCUGGACGGUAUAGCCCGGCCCAAAGGCUCCCGGCGGUCAGUGCCCCGGAGCUCAGGCCAGACCGUGUGCCGUUGCCCUAACUGCCUGGAGGCGGAGCGACUGGGGGCUCCGUGCGGACCCGACGGGGGCAAGAAGAAGCAUUUGCACAACUGCCACAUCCCAGGCUGCGGGAAAGCCUAUGCCAAAACGUCGCACCUGAAGGCGCACCUGCGCUGGCACAGCGGCGACCGUCCCUUCGUGUGCAACUGGCUCUUCUGCGGCAAGCGCUUCACGCGCUCGGAUGAGCUGCAGCGCCACCUCCAGACCCACACGGGCACCAAGAAGUUCCCCUGUGCGGUCUGCAGCCGAGUCUUCAUGCGCAGCGACCACCUGGCGAAACACAUGAAAACCCACGAGGGCGCCAAAGAAGAGGCUGCCGGGGCGGCCACAGGCGAGGGCAAGGCCGGCGGAGCGGUGGAGCCCUCUGGGGGCAAAGGCAAGCGGGAGGCGGAGGGCAGCGCUGCUGCCUCCAAUUGAGCUCCUCGGUACCGCCUCCCCGCUGGUCUCCCCUGGGGGCAUCAGAAGAGAGCACCCUGGCCUGAUGCCCUUGGGGAGCGGCUUAAAAGGAGAAGACCCCGUCUGAUGGAGCCAUGAAGGAAGAGGGGAAGAGGGCCAGAAUCCGAGACAGCUUCCCAGCCAGAACUGUGGGGGGAGGAGAG
This is an RNA transcript of Pteropus alecto (black flying fox), 1413 nucleotides long. It is a transcript of the gene named Sp6 transcription factor, with no coding region annotated. The record is from RefSeq and is a predicted model, not a curated record. The transcript has 3 exons. Lineage: Eukaryota; Metazoa; Chordata; Mammalia; Chiroptera; Pteropodidae.